This 253-nucleotide ribosomal RNA is filed under the name uncultured bacterium. RNAcentral's name for it is "partial 16S ribosomal RNA". It matches the Rfam family "Bacterial small subunit ribosomal RNA", at positions 524 to 776 of the family's 1533-position model. The record is from RNAcentral.
GACAGAGGGUGCAAACGUUGUUCGGAAUUACUGGGCGUAAAGGGCGCGUAGGCGGCCUGCUAAGUCGGAUGUGAAAUCCCUCAGCUUAACUGGGGAACUGCGUGUGAUACUGGAUGGCUUGGAUUUGGGAGAGGGAUGCGGAAUUCCAGGUGUAGCGGUGAAAUGCGUAGAUAUCUGGAGGAACACCGGUGGCGAAGGCGGCAUCCUGGACCAAUAUUGACGCUGAGGAGCGAAAGCCAGGGGAGCAAACGGG